GCUCAGGAUGAACGCUAGCUACAGGCUAAACACAUUGCAAGUCGAGGGGAAACGAUAUUGGAAGCUUGCUUCCGAUAGGCGUCGACCGGCGCACGGGUGAGUAACGCGUAUCCAACCUGCCCACCACUUGGGAAUAACCUUGCGAAAGUAAGACUAAUACCCAAUGAUAUCUCUAGAAGACAUCUGAAGGAGAUUAAAGAUUUAUCGGUGAUGGAUGGGGAUGCGUCUGAUUAGCUUGUUGGCGGGGUAACGGCCCACCAAGGCGACGAUCAGUAGGGGUUCUGAGAGGAAGGUCCCCCACAUUGGAACUGAGACACGGUCCAAACUCCUACGGAGGCAGCAGUGAGGAAUAUUGGUCAAUGGGCGAGAGCCUGAACCAGCCAAGUAGCGUGCAGGAUGACGGCCCUAUGGGUUGUAAACUGCUUUUAUAAGGGAAUAAAGUGAGCCUCGUGAGGCUUUUUGCAUGUACCUUAUGAAUAAGGACCGGCUAAUUCCGUGCCAGCAGCCGCGGUAAUACGGAAGGUCCGGGCGUUAUCCGGAUUUAUUGGGUUUAAAGGGAGCGUAGGCCGGAGAUUAAGCGUGUUGUGAAAUGUAGAUGCUCAACAUCUGCACUGCAGCGCGAACUGGUUUCCUUGAGUACGCACAAAGUGGGCGGAAUUCGUGGUGUAGCGGUGAAAUGCUUAGAUAUCACGAAGAACUCCGAUUGCGAAGGCAGCUCACUGGAGCGCAACUGACGCUGAAGCUCGAAAGUGCGGGUAUCGAACAGGAUUAGAUACCCUGGUAGUCCGCACGGUAGACGAUGGAUGCCCGCUGUUGGUCUGAAAUAGGU
Molecule: ribosomal RNA, 829 nt
Filed under: uncultured Bacteroidota bacterium
Lineage: Bacteria; Pseudomonadati; Bacteroidota
Description: bacterial SSU rRNA
Rfam family: Bacterial small subunit ribosomal RNA
Source: RNAcentral